UGCUGUUACUACAACCCUCAGUGAAUUAUUUUUCGGGAGGUUUUGGCGGAUUUUCCAAGUCAUGAUCCAAAACCGUCUUUGGCCUUUUUGCUCUCCUAGUCUGUUGUACAUGGUAAUGUGAAGUGACCCAAUAAUUGGUAGUAUAGACAGAAUGGUUGGCAGUGACAUUUACUGUGGCAAGCUGUUAUUCAAGAAUUUGUCAUUAUUCCCAGAAGCUAACUACUGGUUUAAAUAAUUAGUCUUUUGUUCCCUGUACACAACUUGCUUAGACUGAUAUGCUAUAUGGGAGUUAUGUCUACUUUAUUUGUAAAAUUGGUAAAAUUACCAAUAGAAUUACCAAUAAAGUUUUCAGUAGUUUUGUCCAGAUUUCAUUGAAAAUGAAUGUGAGGAGUGAUCAGUCAUAUUCCUUAAGAGUGUUUAAGCUUCCAGCAUGAGAGCUAAUAAAUUUCUUGAGUUAUUCAUACAUGAUUUGUCUCCUGUAAAAUUGUCUCAGCUAAACCCCCAGGCAAAUGUCUAUAAAUUUCUUUAAAUAGCAGCCAGGUUGGUGUUCGUUACCACUUAAAAUGCAGUAUCAAAGUCUCCUUUUGACUUCAGUCUUAUUUCUCUAAAAUCUAAUAGGUGUAAAUGAUCCAUUUUCAUAAAAAAA
Stylophora pistillata is the source of this 646-nucleotide long non-coding RNA. NCBI's taxonomy places the organism in Eukaryota, Metazoa, Cnidaria, Anthozoa, Scleractinia, Pocilloporidae. The record is from RefSeq and is a predicted model, not a curated record.